RNAcentral lists this ribosomal RNA (492 nucleotides) under uncultured bacterium. Its description in RNAcentral is "partial 16S ribosomal RNA". It matches the Rfam family "Bacterial small subunit ribosomal RNA", at positions 29 to 507 of the family's 1533-position model. The record is from RNAcentral.
AGUGAACGCUGGCGGUAGGCCUAACACAUGCAAGUCGAACGGCAGCACAGUAAGAGCUUGCUCUUACGGGUGGCGAGUGGCGGACGGGUGAGGAAUACAUCGGAAUCUACUUUUUCGUGGGGGAUAACGUAGGGAAACUUACGCUAAUACCGCAUACGACCUACGGGUGAAAGCAGGGGAUCUUCGGACCUUGCGCGAUUGAAUGAGCCGAUGUCGGAUUAGCUAGUUGGCGGGGUAAAGGCCCACCAAGGCGACGAUCCGUAGCUGGUCUGAGAGGGUGAUCAGCCACACUGGAAAUGAGACACGGUCCAGACUCCUACGGGAGGCAGCAGUGGGGAAUAUUGGACAAUGGGCGCAAGCCUGAUCCAGCCAUACCGCGUGGGUGAAGAAGGCCUUCGGGUUGUAAAGCCCUUUUGUUGGGAAAGAAAAGCAGCAGGUUAAUACCCCGCUGUUCUGACGGUACCCAAAGAAUAAGCACCGGCUAACCUCGUG